This is a long non-coding RNA of Prunus dulcis (almond), 267 nucleotides long. RefSeq lists it as uncharacterized. Lineage: Eukaryota; Viridiplantae; Streptophyta; Magnoliopsida; Rosales; Rosaceae. The transcript has 3 exons. The record is from RefSeq and is a predicted model, not a curated record.
CUCCUUUCUAACCCCAUUUAACCCUCUUACUUUCUCUCAAUCAUAGAGAAAAACCAAAAGCCACCCCACCCACAAAGCAUGAAGAGACACCAAAGACCCAUUCAUUCUCUGUUUUUCCAGCACCAUGGCCAUCAUCUAGAAUGGGUAAUCCCAACCACACCAUUAAACCGUUGUCUCGCUCAUUUUGGGUUCUUCAAAGAAUUUGUUGGAUAAGGUAUAUUUGCCACUGCGCUAAUAUGUGGUUAACUUAUUUACAAAUGUUGUGGG